Molecule: ribosomal RNA, 481 nt
Filed under: uncultured bacterium
Lineage: Bacteria
Description: bacterial SSU rRNA
Rfam family: Bacterial small subunit ribosomal RNA
Source: RNAcentral
GCUUAACGCGAAGAACCUUACCAGGUCUUGACAUCCUCUGACCAUCCUAGAGAUAGGACCCUUCCCCUUCGGGGACGAGAGUGACAGGUGGUGCAUGGUUGUCGUCAGCUCGUGUCGUGAGAUGUUGGGUUAAGUCCCGCAACGAGCGCAACCCUUGUUCUUAGUUGCCAGCAUUCAGUUGGGCACUCUAAGGAGACUGCCGGUGACAAACCGGAGGAAGGUGGGGAUGACGUCAAAUCAUCAUGCCCCUUAUGACCUGGGCUACACACGUGCUACAAUGGAUGGUACAAAGGGCUGCGAAGCCGCGAGGUGGAGCCAAUCCCAUAAAAACCAUUCUUAGUUCGGAUUGCAGGCUGCAACUCGCCUGCAUGAAGCCGGAAUCGCUAGUAAUCGCGGAUCAGCAUGCCGCGGUGAAUACGUUCCCGGGUCUUGUACACACCGGGGGUUCUUGUACACACCGGGGGUUCUUGGUACACACAGG